UCUUCUUCUUCUUCGUUCUCCCUCUCUCUCUCUCUCUCUCUAACCCUCUCUCUCUCUCUCUUGGGGAUCUUUGGGCGCGAUCGGCACGAAUUUUGAAGCGGGGAUCUGCGGCUCCGGAGCAGCAGGAGCCGAAUCGGGGGAGCGGAGAGGAGGAGCUCGCUCGGCGCCGGGGAGGUGAGCGGCGGCGGAGGAGGCGGCGACGGCGGAGGUGAGGGUUAGAGUUUGGUGUGGUAGGACGAGGAGGAGGAAGGAGGGGUGAGGAGGAGGAGGAGGAGGAAGAAGAAGAAGCGGGGUUUGAGUCGAGGGCUUCGAGCUUUUGGCUUUUGGAUUCGGGGGGUGGGCUUUGUGUGGUGAGGGUUUGGGGCUGCUGCUGCUGCCUCUUCUUCUUCUUCGUCUCGUUCGAUCGCGUUUGAUGGGCCGAUGAUGAAGAGGGAGCGCGAGGAGGCGUUCAUGGGCUCUCAGCUGAAGCGCCCUAACCUAUCUCGUCCGGAUCCGUCGGGGCAACAACCCCUCAUGGCGGCGGCGCCGGGUUCCGGCGGAGCGCAGAAGCUCACCACCAACGAUGCCCUCGCUUAUCUCAAAUCCGUCAAGGAUAUGUUCCAAGACAAGAGGGAGAAGUACGACGAGUUCCUCGAGAUCAUGAAGGAUUUCAAGAGCCAAAGGAUUGACACUAAUGGGGUCAUCAUGAGAGUCAAAGAGCUGUUCAAUGGGCACCGGGAACUUAUCCUCGGGUUCAACAACUUCUUGCCGAAAGGCUACGAGAUCAAGUUCCCGGAGGAGAAGAAGCCGGUGGAAUUCGAGGAGGCCAUCAAUUUCGUGAACAAGAUAAAGAAUCGUUUCCAGAACGAUGAUCAUGUUUACAAGUCGUUCUUAGAUGUCCUUUAUAUGUACCGGAAGGAUAACAAGUCCAUCCAUGAAGUUUACCAAGAGGUUGCAACACUGUUUCAGCAUCAUCAUGAUUUGCUUGAGGAAUUUACACACUUUUUACCUGAUGCCUCAGCAACAAUGGCUCCGCAACAUGUAUCCUCUGGUAGAGGAUUAAUUCGUCGUGAUGAUAGGAACUCUGUGAUGCCUUUGAUUAGGCAUGCUCAAGGGGAUAAGAGGGACAGAACUUAUAAUCAACAUGCAGAUCGUGAUCCUAGUGUCGAUCGGCCCGAUCCGGAGCAUGAUCGCCAGAGAAGGCGUGUUGAGAAGGAAAAGGAUAGGAAGGAGGAAAGGGAGAGAAGAGAUCGAGACCGUGAUGAAAAGGACUUAGAGCAUGACGGCAGAGAUUUAGAUGGUGGGCAACGUAGACGUAAUAAACCUUCUUCUAGAAGGAUUGAGGACUCUCUUACUGAGCAGACGCACCAACAAGCUGGGGAAGGUGCUGAGAACUUUGGAAUGUAUAGCAUCUCCGCUUCAUCAUUUGAUGAUAAGAAUGCCUUGAAGAGUGUAUACACCCAAGAGUUUAACUUUUGUGAGAAAGUGAAGGAGAAGUUACACCCUGAUACAUACCAGGAAUUUUUGAAAUGCCUUCACAUAUACAGUCAAGAAAUAAUUACCCGAAAUGAAUUGAAAAACUUGAUAAGUGAUAUUCUUGAGAAGUAUCCAGAUCUUAUGGAGGGUUUCAACGAAUUUUUAGCUCAUUGUGAAAACAUAGAUGGAUUUCUUGCUGGAGUAUUCAAUAAGAAAAAUAUUGCUAAACCACUUAAGCCGGAGGAUAGAGAAAGAGACAAGGAACGUGAAAGGGAUGAGAGGGAGAAAGAUCGUGAGAAAGAGAGAGAGAAAGAAAGAGAAAAGGUCGAUAAAGGUGCUCCGCAACAUUCUAAAGAUGGGGCCUCUCACAGAACUCCUUUGUUCGCCGGCAAAGAGAAAUAUAAUUUAUUCAAGCCAAUUUCAGAGCUUGACUUCUCAAACUGUCAGCGUUGUACCCCUAGUUACCGCCUCUUACCCAAAAAUUAUUCUAUGCCUCCUGCGAGCCAUCGGACCGAUCUUGGAGCCUCUGUACUGAAUGAUAUUUGGGUGUCAGUGACUUCUGGAAGUGAGGAUUUUUCAUUCAAGCAUAUGCGUAAGAACCAAUAUGAAGAAAGCUUAUUUAGAUGUGAAGACGAUAGGUUUGAGCUAGAUAUGUUAUUGGAGUCUGUGAAUGUGACUACAAAGCGUGUGGAGGAAUUGAUAGAAAAGAUGCAUGACAAUUCAGCCAAGCCUGAGAGCCCAAUACGUGUCGAAGACCACUUCAAUUCCUUGAAUAUAAGGUGCAUUGAACGAUUAUAUGGUGACCAUGGCCUGGACGUUAUGGAUAUUCUGCGAAAAAAUUCUGCUGUUGCAUUGCCCGUCAUAUUAACUCGGCUGAAGCAAAAGCAGGAGGAAUGGUCGAAAUGUCGUUCAGAUUUUAAUAAAGUUUGGGCUGAAAUAUAUGCCAAGAAUUAUCAUAAAUCGCUUGACCACCGCAGUUUCUAUUUCAAGCAACAGGAUGCAAAGAACCUGAGCACAAAAGCUUUAUUGGCUGAGAUCAAAGAAAUUAAUGAGAAGAAGCGAAAGGAGGAUGAUGUGCUUCUCGCCAUUGCAGCUGGAAAUCGGCGGCCGUUACUUCCCAACAUGGAAUUCGAGUAUCCGGAUUCUGAAAUUCACGAAGAUUUGUAUCAGAUUAUUAAAUACUCAUGUGGAGAAGUAUGCACUUCCUCAGACCAAUUAGAAAAAGUCAUGAAGGUAUGGACAACAUUUUUGGAGCCAAUAUUGGGUGUUCCACCUCGACACCACGGUGUGGAGGAUACAGAAGAUAAGACGAAACCGAAAAGCCACUCUUCAAAAACUGGUGUAUCAAAUGGUGGUGUUGCCGACAAGAAAAGCAACGGUGAUGAAAGUAGGGUGGUAAGCGGUGAUGCAGCAGCUGUUGAGAAUGGUUUCCACAAUGUUGAUCGAGUGGGUAGUAGAGGUGAUAAUGCGGGUAAUAGUGGACCCCAUUCAAGAGUGCAUGGUAUUACCCCUACAUGUGAUGAAAUGUCUGGAAUAACCAUGCAAACCGCUACUAUUGAACGAGUAAUGGAUAAUAAUGUCUCUCCUGCGGGGAGAGCCGAGCAGAGUCAUAAACGGACUAACCUGGAAAGUACAUCUGGUGCUAAUGUGCCUCCUAAAACGUGUCACACUGGAGGGGAAACGGCUACCAAAUCUCGAUUGGGCAGUGAAAAUUUACCACCUGUUGAGGAAAAUGAAAGCAGCAAAGUUCUCCGUCCUAACGAAGGUUCGACAUCUAAUAACAACAAUGCUAAGGUCGAAAGGGAAGAGGGUGAGCUAUCUCCUAACGGCGAUUUUGAAGAGGACAAUUUUGUAGCAUUUGAAGACGGAACCGCAGUGGACGCGGGCACUAAAACAAAAGACAAUUGUGGCGAGGUAGCAGGAGAGAAUGAUGCCAUGGAUGCCGAUGAUGAGGGAGAUGAUUUUGCGCAAAGAUCAAUUGAUGACAGUGAAAAUGCAUCUGAGGCCGGUGGGGAGGAUGCUUCAGGCAGCGAGAAUGCAUCCGAUGGUGAGGAGUGUUCGCGUGAAGAGGAGGAAGAAGACGGAGAUCAUGAUCACAAGGUUGAGAGCGAGGGUGAAGCCGAAGGGACAGCUGAUGCGCAUGAUGCCGAGGGUGAAAUCACAUCCUUUCCAUUUUCAGAAAGGUUCUUGCAUAUGGUGAAGCCACUGGCAAAGCAUGUGCCCGAGGCAUUACGUGAUAAAGAGGACAAAGGUUCAAGGAUAUUUUACGGGAAUGAUUCGUUUUAUGUUUUGUUCAGGCUACAUCAGACUUUGUAUGAGAGGAUACUUUCAGCGAAGACAAACACAUCAGCUUCUGAAAACAAAUGGAAAAAUUCCAAGGAUGCAAACCCUUCCGACCUUUAUGCAAAAUUCAUGAGUGCGUUGUACAGCUUGAUUGAUGGCUCCUCUGACAAUACAAAGUUUGAGGAUGAUUGCCGUGCCAUCAUUGGGACUCAGUCCUAUGUGCUUUUCACAUUAGACAAGCUGAUAUACAAAGUCGUUAAGCAGCUUCAAGCGAUAGUAUCAGAUGAGAUGGACAAUAAGCUCCUCCAGCUCUAUUUAUAUGAAAAGUCGAGGCGACCUGGGCGAUUUAUUGAUCUAGUUUAUCAUGAGAAUGCUCGCGUCCUUCUCCACGAUGAGAGCAUUUACCGAUUUGAAUGUUGUCCAAAUCCGACAAUGUUAUCUAUCCAACUCAUGGAAUAUGGGCACGAGAAGCCGGAAGUGACUGCUAUUUCUAUCGAUCCUAACUUUUCGGCUUACCUAUAUAAUGAUUUUCUGUCGAGUGCCUCAGAGAGGAAGAGACUAGACGUCUUCCUUGGAAGGAAUAAGCGGAAACAGGGGAGUGAUGAUGACUAUUCUACUACUUGCAAGGCCAUGGAUGGGAUUCGAGUUAUCAAUGGCCUUGAAUGCAAGAUAUCUUGCAAUUCGUCUAAGGUGUCCUACGUGCUUGACACAGAAGACGUUUUGUUCCGAGUGCGAAAGAAAAGGAGAUCUCCGAGUAACGGCACUGUAGUAACUUCUCACAAUCAGGCGCACCUUUCGAAAGUAUACACUGUAAAAGUACAGCGAUUUCAUCGCUUCCUCUCCCGAUCCCAGUAAUCAUUUAGCCCCUCGAAAAACAGCGUUUUAAACCCUGUUUCAAGUGAGGAGGUUGGUUACCGAGAGGACGCACAAAAUGCAGUGUGGUCUGUAUCUAAUCCACCACGCAGCCAGCGCCGGUACCGAGGGUUUCAACGAGCUUCUACUCAAAGAGAAGCUUCGCGCACGCCCAAACCACCUUAUUCGGAAGCGCUUCUCCAUUGCGAAACUCCUUUCGGGACAACGGCUGCGGCAUAUCUCGUGGUACAUAUAUGAAAAAGGUUAUUGUACCGUCUCUCUCUCUCUCUCUUGCGGUGGUUUUCGCGCCACAUAUGUGUUUGUAUAUAUAUGUUAUUAAGGCGAAAAGAGGAAAAAUUUGUUUUUUUGAUUCAAAAAGACUCUACGCUUUCCGCGAGCCGGUUAGCUUCUCCCUCUUCUAAAUUUGAUCUCAGUGUUUGUAUCCUUUUUUCCUCCCCUUUUUUUUUUUUUUUGUUAACUUCAUUUGAUACAUGAAGCAUGCAAUUUAUCCCCUACUUUGAAGCUGAGCCUUUUUUAGUUAGCCCCAUGUAAUAGGUCCUUGUUGAAUUUUAUUAUAGUUUUUUUUUUUUUUUUUCAACUUUUUGGAAAGUUCCAUUGAUGAUUUGUAGUGCGUGAUAUGUUCAUGCAUAAAUAUUCAGUUGUUAUGCUUGGUUGACUUUUAACUACUGUUACAACUUGGGCUAAGUUACACUUUUGAUCCUCAA
Molecule: RNA transcript, 5315 nt
Organism: Ananas comosus (pineapple)
Lineage: Eukaryota; Viridiplantae; Streptophyta; Magnoliopsida; Poales; Bromeliaceae
Gene name: paired amphipathic helix protein Sin3-like 4
Exons: 24
Source: RefSeq, a predicted model, not a curated record